GAUGAAGAACGCAUCGAAAUGCGAUAAGUAAUGCGAAUUGCAGAAUUCCAGUGAGUCAUCGAAUCUUUGAACGCACAUUGCGCCCUUUGGUAUUCCGAAGGGCAUGCCUGUUCGAGCGUCAUUAUCACCCCUCAAGCCCUCGGCUUGGUGUUGGACGGUUUGGUGGAGGCCCCCUCGGGGGUUCCUGCCCCUCCCAAAGACAAUGACGGCGGCCUCGUUGGACCCCCGGUACACUGAGUUCUUCACGGGACACGUAUCGGACACAUGGGUUUACGGGACACGGUCUGCCUCCCCUCAGGGAGAAUCUUUCUAAGGUUGACCUCGGAUCAGGUAGGGAUACCCGCUGAACUUAAGCAUAUCAAUAAGCGGAGGA
RNAcentral lists this unclassified non-coding RNA (373 nucleotides) under soil metagenome. RNAcentral's name for it is "partial contains 5.8S ribosomal RNA, internal transcribed spacer 2, and large subunit ribosomal RNA". The stretch from base 1 to 121 matches the Rfam family "5.8S ribosomal RNA", at positions 35 to 154 of the family's 154-position model. The record is from RNAcentral.